Molecule: long non-coding RNA, 751 nt
Organism: Labeo rohita (rohu)
Lineage: Eukaryota; Metazoa; Chordata; Actinopteri; Cypriniformes; Cyprinidae
Exons: 5
Source: RefSeq, a predicted model, not a curated record
CAACUAGAUGAGCUGCCUAUAGAAGUUUCUUCCUUCCUGUAAUUUGGAUGUUCGUUGCUGUUUUGAUGUUCAGAGUGUUAGUACAUGACCCGAAAGCUAACAUUCAAUACAUUUUGGGAAAAAAAAGCUCCAGUCUCUUCAUUUUUGGUGACCUGACCGAUACCUCAUCAGUGUUUACUGAUAUAUAGUUAGAGCCAGAGUCUAGCAGUGUCACACUUGACUUCCAACACUGAAAGCGUAUUCACAAAUUUGUAAAGCAACUUGUAAAGCUGCUGUUCAACACGACAGUUCAGAGGAAGAAAAAGACAGAUGUACAAACACUGAGAUGAGGACGCGCUGAGAGGAACAGGCUGAGCUUGUUUAUCUCACAAACAGAACGCGAGCGUGACUACAGCAGCUGACGAGAGGAUCUUAUACAGUGCAAUUGUUUGUGAUCUGAUACCUGCACAACAGAUGAAUCCUGCAAACUUUUCCUCUGAGCACUGUACCAACAUCAGAUCUUCAGCUACACUUAUUUUCUAUUGGUAAAACAAGUUCCUUGUCUACUGAUGAUGAGUUUUGCAAGCACUUAAAUAUCAGGUAUGAUUUACUUGUGUUACUUGUUGAACAAAAUUCAGAAAACAGUUUUCAGGAAUUACACAAUAUCUGUUCACAUCUCUGUGGUUAGAUCAGUGUGCUUAAUAAUGUGUUGUUGACCUUUAUAAUGUAUGUUUAUAUUAUACUGUGUUGUAAAUAAAAUACAGAUAAUCUA